Molecule: long non-coding RNA, 2942 nt
Organism: Lagopus muta (rock ptarmigan)
Lineage: Eukaryota; Metazoa; Chordata; Aves; Galliformes; Phasianidae
Exons: 3
Source: RefSeq, a predicted model, not a curated record
CUUACUAAACAUCAGAGGAAACUCCUGGGGGGAAAUUCCUUCUGCAUGCUCAAUCAGUUGUGCAGCUUCAGUUAAAGUUUCAGUCUGUAAGGAUGCAGAUGCUCACCUGUAAGCUGUUAGCAACCAAGGGAAAGAGUUGGUCUCUUUCUUCCUAUGGCAGCCAUGGACCCCUGUGCUUGGGUGGUCCUCCAGAGGCACUGAUACAGAGCCUGAAAGGAAGCUCCAAUCUCUGAUCCACAGGUGCCUUCAGCCUGGCAGGACCUGGUUCUUCUGAUUAGCAGCAGUUCUUGCUUGAAAGUAUGGGGAGCCUGGGACUGAGGGCAAACUUCUGGGAGUCCUCUUUCCACUGAAACAACUCUGAAAAUAAUGAAUGAGGGAAGAGAGAAGAAGAGAAGGCAGAAGAUGAGCAGAGCAGCUUUGGGUGUGCUUCAAUCUCUUGUUAUUCACGUGUUCUUUCAUUGGGAGAUCGUUUACCCUGGGAACUCAGUGCUGAUACCAGCUUCUUUUGUCAGAACUGUCUUCAUACUUACAGGCUGCUGGAAGAGCCAUUAAACCCAAGCUGUAAUUCCCUUUGCCUUUGGGCACAAAGUGCUGCCCGUAGCAAUGACAAUAAUACAGGAUUGUACUCGCAAAGGGGAAGAAGGGAAGUCUCAGGACAAGAUGUGAGGCUGGGUGAGUGGGCCCUGUGCCGCUGAUGGGUGGCACUGGGGAUUGUGUGUGUACUGCAAGUAUCACUGAGAAAAGUGCUUGAGGAGUUUAGGGAUCCAUUAAGUAGAGAGCAGAACUGUGUGCAUAUUGUUUUGAGCUUGGAUGCUGUAGUGGGGACAUCCACAGCUCCAGAAUGCAGACUCAAAGCAAGUGUCAGCUCACUUUUUCAAAGAUGUGUGCUUCUAACCAAAUUAUACACUGUCCUUUCCCUCCGUUCCCAAGGUUAUCUCAUGUCAAGUUCUGGCAGUUCUUGUUGCUGCAUCAUCUCUGUCUGUUCUGUGACUCACUGCUCAAUGUGAGUCAGAUAGCCUUGUAAGGAGGGGAGUCUGCAAGCUGAUUUCUGUGUGUCUAAAUAACAGACAAAUAUUUGAAUUAUAGAUAGCAACUAACUGCUAAUUGGCCACAAUGUAAGGCCCUUCUGACACUGUAAAUAUGGAAAAGAAUAGCUUGUUAUUUUUCACACCUGAAUGCCAGUCUUUUAAAAUGAAAAGCUAAUUCUAGCCUGGGAGGCAAGCUCUGUGUUUUAGUCUAGAGUGAUAGAGCGAGAACAAUAAAUGAACACUUAAGGUAAGGAGAAUUUCCCUGCAGCAAGUUUACUUGUGAUAAGUUAUACUGCCCUAUGGGAGACAAAAUUAAACUGUAGCUUUGAUUCAGAUCUCAAAGAAGUCUCAGCAGAAAACCUGACUGAAGAAAACAAAGCAAGAGACCACACUUUGAAUUGGGCAAAACACCAAUUAGGAAAAGCUUUUGUAGAUACUGUGUAUGUACAAGUGUAAUAUUGCUGUUAAGGCAGUGCUGGGAGCCAUGAAGUGCUGAGACUUCACUGUGGUGACACCUUGGUCUGUCUUACAGAGUAUGCUCAAAGUUCAGAUGUUAAAAUAGUAUCUAAGAAGUUAUUGAAUGGAGCUCUUUAUUGGUACAAUAAAGAUCUAGGUGUGCCCUCUGUUUCAAGGCAUAUCUUCAUCUUCAGUAAAUGUAACUGUUGUUGUAGGGAGGUAAAGGCAUUGCUGAUAGUUAAUGAGCCUCUUGUUUGUUUCAUAUAUGGUUAUUACUGGCUUAUUUUAUUUAGCAUGCUCCUUGUCCAGCUGUCCUUGCUACCUGUAACAGUGCCUGCAGGUGAGUGGCUGACGCUCACUCAGGUCUCUGCACUCAAGGGAGGGUGGGCAGCUGGCAGAGAACUCCAGCAAACAAUUUGCUCUGGUGAUUUUAUUGCAGAGAGUAAAAAGGUUUUAAUUCGUCUCAGUGAAUGUGUUUUUAUGAUCUGCCUCGGUGCAAUCAUACUUGUGAUGAAAUGAAAUAAUUAGAAAAGGUAUUCUCUUCUCUGCAGUCUGUUUACAACUAACGGAGUAAGUGAAAAUCCAGCCUUUUAUCUGACACCAAUUGGUACAGCGUUCUUGAGCUAAAUUGGACUUCUUCUGCUUUUUUUAAGCUUAAACAUAUCUUUCUCUUUCUCCCUUUCUUCCUUCUGUUUCUGAAUACCAGUAAAUUAAAGAUGACAGGAAACUGGAAAUGCUUUCAGAAAAGGUCUUGAAAUUCAUGUAAGUGCACAUAAGAAAAGGGGAAAAAGGGAGAGAAAUGUAACCCUUCUUCUUUCAUAGUAGCAUGACAAUCAAGAAAUUACUAAGAAUAUUUCAUACAUAUUACAACAAUUCUGGGGGAGAGGAAAGGGCAAUCUGCACUGAACAAUGUAUUCUACAGUAAUUUCAAUUUAGAUAACCAUACAGAAGAUUUUUCUAACCCUCCCUUCCAUGACAGAUGUCAAUUUCUCCAUUCUGUACUGGAAGCUUUUGUGUGAGUCACUUGCAGCACAGUGCUAUCAGAUGGGAGGGCUGAGUAAGGAAGAAGCAGUAGGACAUAAUUGCACUUCACUGAAAAUUUGGCAGUUGUGAAAUAAAAUGAGAGAAUUGUAGGAAAUACAACUUUUGUGCCUACAGUAUACCUGUGCUCUGCUAUUAAGAAGCCAGCUGUGUCACAGAGACAAAAAGCGAAUUCAGUGUAUACCAAUGACAAAUCACUGUUGACCAAACUCUGUCCUCGCUGCAGUUAGGCAGGCAGUUCCCUAUGGCCAGGCUGAGGUUUUUCAUGACUAGGAGAAAACUUGGAUUUUUUUUUUUAGGGUAGGGAUUACAGAUCUCCAAGGAGAAGAGCAAUAACAAAGAAGUCCAGGGAGUAUUCUGCAUAAAACUGCCAUAUUUACUGGGCUUGUUUUAUAGAAAUCUUAUUUCAGUUCCUAU